This 457-nucleotide ribosomal RNA is filed under the name Veillonella parvula. RNAcentral's name for it is "bacterial SSU rRNA". It matches the Rfam family "Bacterial small subunit ribosomal RNA", at positions 28 to 462 of the family's 1533-position model. The record is from RNAcentral. Lineage: Bacteria; Bacillati; Bacillota; Negativicutes; Veillonellales; Veillonellaceae.
GACGAACGCUGGCGGCGUGCUUAACACAUGCAAGUCGAACGAAGAGCGAUGGAAGCUUGCUUCUAUCAAUCUUAGUGGCGAACGGGUGAGUAACGCGUAAUCAACCUGCCCUUCAGAGGGGGACAACAGUUGGAAAUGACUGCUAAUACCGCAUACGAUCUAAUCUCGGCAUCGAGGAUAGAUGAAAGGUGGCCUCUACAUGUAAGCUAUCACUGAAGGAGGGGAUUGCGUCUGAUUAGCUAGUUGGAGGGGUAACGGCCCACCAAGGCGAUGAUCAGUAGCCGGUCUGAGAGGAUGAACGGCCACAUUGGGACUGAGACACGGCCCAGACUCCUACGGGAGGCAGCAGUGGGGAAUCUUCCGCAAUGGACGAAAGUCUGACGGAGCAACGCCGCGUGAGUGAUGACGGCCUUCGGGUUGUAAAGCUCUGUUAAUCGGGACGAAAGGCCUUCUUGCG